Molecule: ribosomal RNA, 481 nt
Filed under: uncultured bacterium
Lineage: Bacteria
Description: partial 16S ribosomal RNA
Rfam family: Bacterial small subunit ribosomal RNA
Source: RNAcentral
GAUGAACGCUGGCGGCGUGCUUAACACAUGCAAGUCGAACGAAGCACUUUAUUUUAUUUCCUUCGGGACUGAUUAUUUUGUGACUGAGUGGCGGACGGGUGAGUAACGCGUGGGUAACCUGCCUUGUACAGGGGGAUAACAGUUGGAAACGGCUGCUAAUACCGCAUAAGCGCACAGCAUCGCAUGAUGCAGUGUGAAAAACUCCGGUGGUAUAAGAUGGACCCGCGUUGGAUUAGCUAGUUGGUGAGGUAACGGCCCACCAAGGCGACGAUCCAUAGCCGGGCUGAGAGGGUGACCGGACACAUUGGGACGGAGACACGGCCCAAACUCCUACGGGAGGCAGCAGUGGGGAAUAUUGCACAAUGGGCGAAAGCCUGAUGCAGCGACGCCGCGUGAGCGAAGAAGUAUUUCGGUAUGUAAAGCUCUAUCAGCAGGGAAGAUAAUGACGGUACCUGACGAAGAAGCACCGGCUAAAUACGUG